UACAGAGGGGGCAAGCGUUAUUCGGAAUUAUUGGGCGUAAAGAGCGCGCAGGCGGCUGGUCAAGUCCGAUGUGAAAUCUCCCGGCUUAACUGGGAAACUGCAUCGGAAACUGAUCGGCUUGAAGGUGGGAGAGGGUAGUGGAAUUCCCGGUGUAGUGGUGAAAUGCGUAGAUAUCGGGAGGAACACCAGUGGCGAAGGCGACUACCUGGCCCAUUCUUGACGCUGAGGCGCGAAAGCUAGGGGAGCGAACGGG
This 253-nucleotide ribosomal RNA is filed under the name uncultured bacterium. RNAcentral describes it as "partial 16S ribosomal RNA". It matches the Rfam family "Bacterial small subunit ribosomal RNA", at positions 524 to 776 of the family's 1533-position model. The record is from RNAcentral.